GAUGAACGCUAGCUACAGGCUUAACACAUGCAAGUCGAGGGGAAACGACAUCGCAAGCUUGCUUUUGAUGGGCGUCGACCGGCGCACGGGUGAGUAACGCGUAUCCAACCUGCCCAUCACUUGGGAAUAACCUUGCGAAAGUAAGGCUAAUACCCAAUGACAUCCCACGAAGACAUCUGAAUGGGAUUAAAGAUUUAUCGGUGAUGGAUGGGGAUGCGUCUGAUUAGCUUGUUGGCGGGGUAACGGCCCACCAAGGCAACGAUCAGUAGGGGUUCUGAGAGGAAGGUCCCCCACAUUGGAACUGAGACACGGUCCAAACUCCUACGGGAGGCAGCAGUGAGGAAUAUUGGUCAAUGGGCGAGAGCCUGAACCAGCCAAGUAGCGUGCAGGAUGACGGCCCUAUGGGUUGUAAACUGCUUUUAUAAGGGAAUAAAGUGGGUCUCGUGAGACUUUUUGCAUGUACCUUAUGAAUAAGGACCGGCUAAUUCCGUG
This 492-nucleotide ribosomal RNA is filed under the name uncultured bacterium. RNAcentral describes it as "partial 16S ribosomal RNA". It matches the Rfam family "Bacterial small subunit ribosomal RNA", at positions 28 to 507 of the family's 1533-position model. The record is from RNAcentral.